AUGGCGGGCAAGAUGCCCAACGUCCUAUGGCUCGAGGGCUCCUUUGUGGAGACCCUGAAGGGGUGGCAAUCGGGGUGGUUUUACAUCACUGAGCCGCGCGAUCCCAAAUGGAUCGCAGCCCUCGAGUUCCGGUCCGGACCCCCCACGAGGCUCACGUCCUGGAAAGAGACGGGCCUGUCAUGGGGCUACAAAGAAGAGGUGACUGGACUGCAAACAUGCAUCCAAACCCUGGUGAACAAGCAGCUCAAGCUUGUCAAUGUAGUCCAGGUUAUGCUCAUCCGCCGGAUCCUCCCGUGUCAACAACGGGCCUUCAAUCUGUGGGAGUUUGACCCGGCGCAGCACCGAACUUUGAGCAGGCUCUUCAACACGACGUACGAAGAUGUCUGGAAGGUGCUAUUCAAGGGCACCGAGGCUCCCGCAUCCGCUUCCGAGGAUCGCGGAUUCAGCACGCAGCUUCACGCUAGUGCGGAUUGGCAGGUGAAGUCCGGACAGAUCAACUGUCCGGCUCCUUUGCCCGAAGACCCAGCCAGUGCUCGCUUGGAGAAGCUGCUGGUUCCGGCACCCUAUGUGGUGCCGGAGAAGAAGGCCAAGAAGAAGGCCACAGGGACUCGAAAGAGUGCCCGGUGCCUGAAGGUGUCGGAUUCAUCAUUCGACGAAUCCGAGACACGCUCCUCCCAUGAAGACGAGGAGGAGAAAGAAGAAACCUCUCCCCCUUCAGCGGGGGGAGGAAAGGAAAGGAAGGUUGUCCCGACCGGGGAGGCCGAAGGGUCCAAGAAGGGGAAGACCCUUCCUCCGGACUACUCCACCGACGCCAACGACGGCGAAGAGGAGUGGCCGCACAGGGGCCAAGCGCCCGGCGAAACCUCCGCCCAAGGCCGGGCUCGACGAGUCGUCGAGCGGCUCCCUGGAUUCGUCAGAUGUGAAUUCACUUCCGACGGCUACCUCCCCCCGCCCUACGGACGACGCCGAAGUGUUGUCCCAACAGGUUCCAAGUCAGGAGGAGGUGGUCCUGGAGGCGCCGCAAGACGACUUUCCAGACUCCAGGAGUAA
RNAcentral lists this ribosomal RNA (1050 nucleotides) under Triticum aestivum (bread wheat). RNAcentral describes it as "partial small subunit ribosomal RNA". Lineage: Eukaryota; Viridiplantae; Streptophyta; Magnoliopsida; Poales; Poaceae. The record is from RNAcentral.